RNAcentral lists this ribosomal RNA (433 nucleotides) under uncultured bacterium. RNAcentral describes it as "partial 16S ribosomal RNA". It matches the Rfam family "Bacterial small subunit ribosomal RNA", at positions 29 to 507 of the family's 1533-position model. The record is from RNAcentral.
AACGAACGCUGGCGGCAUGCCUAACACAUGCAAGUCGAACGAGACCUUCGGGUCUAGUGGCGCACGGGUGCGUAACGCGUGGGAACCUGCCCUUAGGUUCGGCAUAACUCCCCGAAAGGGGUGCUAAUACCGGUUAAUGUCUUCGGACCAAUGAUUUAUCGCCUUUGGAUGGGCCCGCGUUGGAUUAGCUAGUUGGUAGGGUAAAAGCCUACCAAGGCGACGUUCCAUAGCUGGUCUGAGAGGAUGAUCAGCCACACUGGGACUGGGACACGGCCCAGACUCCUACGGGAGGCAGCAGUGGGGAAUAUUGGACAAUGGGCGAAGGCCUGAUCCAGCAAUGCCGCGUGAGUGAUGAAGGCCUUAGGGUUGUAAAGCUCGUUUACCCGGGAUGAUAAUGACAGUACCGGGAGAAUAAGCUCCGGCUAACUCCGUG